This 161-nucleotide ribosomal RNA is filed under the name uncultured bacterium. RNAcentral describes it as "partial 16S rRNA". It matches the Rfam family "Bacterial small subunit ribosomal RNA", at positions 358 to 511 of the family's 1533-position model. The record is from RNAcentral.
GGAAUCUUCGGCAAUGGGGGCAACCCUGACCGAGCAACGCCGCGUGAGUGAAGAAGGUCUUCGGAUCGUAAAACUCUGUUGUUAGAGAAGAACAUGAGUGAGAGUAACUGUUCAUUCGAUGACGGUAUCUAACCAGCAAGUCACGGCUAACUACGUGCCAG